This is a long non-coding RNA of Salvia miltiorrhiza (redroot sage), 697 nucleotides long. RefSeq lists it as uncharacterized. Lineage: Eukaryota; Viridiplantae; Streptophyta; Magnoliopsida; Lamiales; Lamiaceae. The record is from RefSeq and is a predicted model, not a curated record. The transcript has 2 exons.
ACACAACCUAUGAAGCAUGGGGACGGCACUUUGCUGGGCGUUCGCGUCCCGGGGACGUCCCGGGGACGAUACGCGAAAAAUACGCGUAAAAUACGUCCCCGGGGACGUAUUUUUAACUCCCCUUUUUUUAAUUAAUUUUUAAAUAAAAAAUACGUUUAAAAUACGUUGACCAGACGGUCAAAUACGUAUUUGAAGCCAAAAAUACAUUUCAGUCAAAAUUUUAAACCUCUAAACUUGUAAAACCCUAAUUCGCGCCUCCCUCACUCACCAUUUACGUUCGCACUCUCCUCUCUGACCCACCCGCCGCUCGCCGUCGCGCCUCCCUGCGCCAGCCCGCCGCUCGCCGUCGCGCCUCCCUGCGCCAGCCCGCCGCUCGCCGUCGCGCCUCCCCUGCGCCAGCCCGCCGUCGCGCUGCCCUGCGCCCCGCUGCUGUAAAGCCGUAAAGCCAUGAAUUGGAGAGAGUUGUCUUCAAUGAUGAUGAAGAUUUGAGGGAAGAGGAAGAGGAGGAGGAGGAGGAGAAAGACGAUGAUGAGUGAUCUGGGCUACUAACAUUUUAUUGUGUUUUAUUUCAUUAUUUGCUAUUUGGAACUUUGUUAUGAUGAAUUAGUAGUGUUUUACUUAUAUUCUUGGUGAAUUAUGAAUUUAUAAUAUAUAUAAAAUAUAUUUUAAAUAAAAAAACUAAAACGUAUUUUUGACG